Molecule: long non-coding RNA, 492 nt
Filed under: Cyanistes caeruleus (blue tit)
Lineage: Eukaryota; Metazoa; Chordata; Aves; Passeriformes; Paridae
Description: lncRNA (ENSCCEG00000000853.1)
Source: RNAcentral
AACAAAUAGAGCACAAAAGGCCUUUAGCUGUGCAGGAAGGACAAGGUAGAGCUGCAGUGGGGAUCUCCUCUUGCUCCUCCUGAGCCUGCACAGCCUUUGUCAGGCAAAGCCAUUUGCCCCCAGGAGUGAGGGAUUAGGAUAUUUAUUCAUAAUUAAUGCCAUUUUGAAAAGCUACUGUCAACUCAAACCCAGCUUCAAGGCAGCAUAAAAUGACAGGGAUAGAACACAAAAACUUCACUGCCUUGUGAGGUUUCUGUGGUCUCUCUCUGCUGUUGCCUUUGCUAUCAGAUCCAAAAUGUUCUAUUUGAGCGUGGGAUAUACCUCUAUUCCACUGAACAAAAACAAGAAGUAUUUGAUCAGAAGACAUAUUUGGGAGCAACUUUGAACUAAAGAAAGUGAGAGGAAAAGAAACACUGUUAGUGACAGCUUCGAGGUGUUGCACAUAGAGAUAUGCAGGGCUGGACAGAAAUCAAGAUCUUGCGCAAAAAGGUA